RNAcentral lists this long non-coding RNA (520 nucleotides) under Trifolium pratense (red clover). RNAcentral describes it as "long non-coding RNA (TPRA_LNC001726)". Lineage: Eukaryota; Viridiplantae; Streptophyta; Magnoliopsida; Fabales; Fabaceae. The record is from RNAcentral.
GAGGAGUAGCUCUCAAAUCCAAGUCAACUUUAAGAAGGAAAAGCAUGUCUAAACCAAAGAUCACUAGAAGUUAAACGUCUUUCACAGAAAAGAGGGAAUGCAGUGUCACUUUAGCAAACACACCCACCUAUCUACAAUUUUCUUUUCUUUGAAAGUACAUACUAUAAAUUUUCUACUUAUUUUCUAUUGCAAAUUGAUGAUAAGUGGUUUUGUCGUAUAGUACAGUCACUACUCUUUUGCUCCUAUCCUAUCCCAAUCCCCCACCCCACAUGAAUACGCACUUAUCACUUAUCGUUUGAUCAGAGCACACAGAAACCAACCCUUCCCAUACCUCAAAAGUCUCAAAACCCUAUCCACUCCAUAGAAAAUACUAGUAGUACAAUUAUUGUGCAUAUAUUUUUCAUAUUUUAGUUCACUCCACUCUACUAAAAAUUCACAAAUCAAUGACUUCAAUUUUGUUUCUUCUUAUAUUAUCAUUAUCAUAUAGCUAACUUUUUCUAUGACAUAAACUAACAUUUUA